Molecule: long non-coding RNA, 2750 nt
Organism: Triticum aestivum (bread wheat)
Lineage: Eukaryota; Viridiplantae; Streptophyta; Magnoliopsida; Poales; Poaceae
Exons: 2
Source: RefSeq, a predicted model, not a curated record
UUCCGAUGUCGGUCUACGAGGGUACGUGGACAACACUCUCCCCUCUCGUUGCUAUGCAUCACCAUGAUCUUGCGUGUGCGUAGGAAAUUUUUUGAAAUUACUACGUUCCCCAACAUAUGGGUCCAACCCAAAUAUCAGAUCAAUCUCCCUGCCAUAAGAAGAAACCCUAGAGUGGAAGCACAAGUAAAUCGCAUUGCAAGUUUGCAAGACGAGAUUGUUGUGCGGGAACUGUCCAAUCUCGCCUCCACCUACUUCGCCGAAAGACCAUCUGCAAUCCAACGUUGCUCUACACAUCGCCGGAACUCCGAGUGCCGGUUCUCCAUGAGGUAUUGCAUACUGAAGACACAAGGCUGAAGACACAAGGAGAAUUGGAAUCAUGCUAUUUGUUUUUCUAGAAACCUACAGUUAAUGAAGCAAACAUAAACUGAACCUUAGUGUGCUACUUCCUGAUCUUCAGCUAAUUUUUCAUUGAUUGAUUCAUUGUUGUGUUUAGUUAGUCUAUCCACAAGCUAGAGGGACUAGGUUAAUUAAGAACAAUGUCUAAGGUAAUGAUUCACUAUGUACAGGUUGCCACCAUGUCAUAUUUGGUUGGCUUAGAGUGACAAGUAUUUCAAGGGUAAUCAAGUUGAUAAGCACCAGCUUAAAUUCAACCAAAAAUUUUAUGGCGUGAUCUCAAAUCUGUGAGCACACGAACCACGGAACCUCACCCAGCCAUUCUGGAUUUUUUAAUUGAGAGGCAACUAAUUUCUCAUUGUUUGAUUCAUCAUGCUUACUCGCUCUGUCCUAGAGAGACUAACAUUGUUCUCCGAUCUGGUUGAUUCACUUCAGUUAAAUUUUCCAGUAGCUUCAGCUCUGUACAUUGGCAUGAUAAGGUGUUUGCCGUUUAGACGAAUUAACUGUUGGAUACUCCAUGAAAGAGGUAGGCCCAUCGCAUGAUUAGGAAGAAUAAGGUGUAUGCUAUACUUGAACAGAUUCCGUUAAGGAGACCAUUUAGCAUGGUCUGCUGGUUAUAGCCUUCUGUCUUGAACUGUAGGCAGAAGUGAAUUUGCUGCUUUGUGCACUCAGGAAGCUGAUUUCGUGUCGUGAACUCUACAGUUGAAUAUAUUUAGUCCCUCUACACAAGCAGGCACAAACGUCCUUUUGAUUUGUUUAUUUUUGAAUUAGGCCGCAUAAGUAGGCAGCAGUUACAAUCAAUGGUGAUGCAGAUUGAAGUACAGGCAAGAUUGCACCUUUAGUAACAUUAGUAUCAACUAUCAAGUAUGUUUAAUCUCAUUUAUCCGUAAGCUUAAUAUGUUGUAUACUUGUAUGGUGAUGCAGAGUUGAAGUACACUGCAAUCUGCACUGGGAUGUCCGUGAGCUUAAUCUCAUUUAUCCAUUGAAGGAGGUCGUCCUUGUGAUCACUGGAAACAUGUUUGUGAUUGAGGCACACAGCAAAAUGGCUCACACUCACCACCAUUACUCGAAGGACCAUCUCCAUAUACGAGUUGCUUUACCUGAAAGCAGAUUUCUGAAGAUAUAUAUUUUUUCGUAUUUGUUUUAUAUUUUUGGACAACUGGUUGUUUAUAUUGGUGGAGAUCCAGUGCUUUACAGAGCCCGCAUAUAAAGGUAAUGUGUAUUGCUAUUUUUCUUACUUAGUAGCAUUAGAAUCUCCCCAUCUCUUUAUACGGAGGUGAUGGCGAAGGAGGAAGAGUUGUGUCAGGCCCAGCUCAAGCUAGAUGAAGAAGAGGAGGCCAGAAAGAGAGAAUCAGCAAGGCAGAAGCCUUUUGAUCUCAAGGCAUGAUUCUGCGGGUUGGUGAGCUACUAACAAAGACACACCUCUAUUCUGAAUUUCUACUUGAAAAAGAUGGACCAUCAGCUACAGAAUAUGUUCGCUGUUGACAUUGGUGGUGGUGUCUUUUGGUUCAACAUGAAGUUGUUUAAGUGAAAAAUGCAGUGGAACAUGUGGAACAAAGGACGUGGUAUGGAAAGGAAAGCAAAGCAAAGCCUAAACAGUACAAUGAUGCAGGUUCAGAUUUCAUAUGUUAUCUUCCCUGCCUCAGGAAUAUGAAAUGGUUGUCUUCUAGAUUAUGAACGUGUCUUUAUUUGUCAUGUAUUGUCGACGCACUGUGUAGUCUGUACUAAUUCUACUGAGACUGCUUGAUCUCUUAUCAUUCACACUUCAGAAUUUUCUAAUUAUCUUAUUAUUAGUAGUAUCAUCCUUCCAACGUACUGAUUCACAAAUCUUAGCUAAUUAGGAAGGAACUACAUGUUUAUCCAUUCUUUUUCAGAUAUGGUGCUCUUGUAGGCAAAGUAGAUGCAUAAUUCUUUUGGAAGGAAGGGCAGGCACACUAGAUAAUGAUGUAUUAUGUUUCUGGCCCAGAACAGGCAGCCCCCAUCAUCCACAACCUUGAUUCCACAAUAUACCCCGCUGAUAUGAUCUAGAGGAGCGAGGAGCUGGGCAAGGAGUCACUGCCGGUUCACAUGACCAAGAAGGGGUAUGCGAUUUUGGGAAGAGAUGCAGGAAGACUGGAAGAAGAUUGACUUCAGUCGCUUCGGCAUCGCCGGCAGCGCCGACGGGAUCCUGCUUUAUUCCGAAGAACUGAUUUUAUAUGAUUCUGAACCUAGCCGUCCAACAUCAUAUAUGUCCAGCUAUACAAGCUUGUAUGCAGCCAAGUUAGUUGCUUUAUUAUGGACUCAACGAGGAAGAGCACUACCACUUUUUCAGAAUUUGAUUUUGUGAACCUUCAUGUUGCACUAUCACAUAUUGCACA